GUUUGUGAUGACUUACCACAUUUUCACGACGGUCUACUGCGUUUGGGGACUUGUAAUCUCCAUACUUUGAUGAUAAUACGGCCUUGACCGGCCGUGGUCCUGAGA
This is a small nucleolar RNA of 105 nucleotides. It matches the Rfam family "Small nucleolar RNA snR73". The record is from Rfam.